CCGCGAAGUAGACGUCAUAACGAUGACGAUGACACAAACAGGCAAAGUGAAAAUCCAUCACCUGUUCAAACAAGAACUUCCAGGCGUGGUGGUCGCGGACAACGUGGUCGUGGCAGUCGUCGUGGACAUGUAGGCCGUCUGAAAUCAUAUC
Bufo bufo (common toad) is the source of this 151-nucleotide long non-coding RNA. RefSeq lists it as uncharacterized. The record is from RefSeq and is a predicted model, not a curated record. The transcript is spliced from 3 exons. NCBI's taxonomy places the organism in Eukaryota, Metazoa, Chordata, Amphibia, Anura, Bufonidae.